RNAcentral lists this ribosomal RNA (492 nucleotides) under uncultured bacterium. Its description in RNAcentral is "partial 16S ribosomal RNA". It matches the Rfam family "Bacterial small subunit ribosomal RNA", at positions 29 to 507 of the family's 1533-position model. The record is from RNAcentral.
AGUGAACGCUGGCGGUAGGCCUAACACAUGCAAGUCGAACGGCAGCACAGUAAGAGCUUGCUCUUACGGUUGGCGAGUGGCGGACGAGUGAGGAAUACAUCGGAAUCUACUUUUUCGUGGGGGAUAACGUAGGGAAACUUACGCUAAUACCGCAUACGACCUACGGGUGAAAGCAGGGGAUCUUCGGACCUUGCGCGAUUGAAUGAGCCGAUGUCGGAUUAGCUAGUUGGCGGGGUAAAGGCCCACCAAGGCGACGAUCCGUAGCUGGUCUGAGAGGAUGAUCAGCCACACUGGAACUGAGACACGGUCCAGACUCCUACGGGAGGCAGCAGUGGGGAAUAUUGGACAAUGGGCGCAAGCCUGAUCCAGCCAUACCGCGUGGGUGAAGAAGGCCUUCGGGUUGUAAAGCCCUUUUGUUGGGAAAGAAAAGCAGCAGGUUAAUACCCCGCUGUUCUGACGGUACCCAAAGAAUAAGCACCGGCUAACUUCGUG